This 554-nucleotide ribosomal RNA is filed under the name Limnonectes doriae (Doria's frog). Its description in RNAcentral is "partial large subunit ribosomal RNA". It matches the Rfam family "Bacterial large subunit ribosomal RNA", at positions 1813 to 2597 of the family's 2925-position model. The record is from RNAcentral. Lineage: Eukaryota; Metazoa; Chordata; Amphibia; Anura; Dicroglossidae.
ACAUCGCCUCUUGAAUUUCAUAGGAGGUCCAGCCUGCCCAGUGACACAAUUAAACGGCCGCGGUACCCUGACCGUGCGAAGGUAGCAUAAUCACUUGUUCUCUAAAUAAGGACUUGUAUCAACGGCAUCACGAGGGUUAUACUGUCUCCUCUUUUUAAUCAGUGAAACUGACUUUCCCGUGAAGAGGCGGGAAUAGAGAUACAAGACGAGAAGACCCCAUGGAGCUUUAAACCCAAUAGUAACCUCUAUUUGCUACUACUACUUAAUCAAGAGGCCCUAUCUACUGGUUUUAGGUUGGGGUGACCCUGGAGUAAAACUUAACCUCCAUGAUGAAUAGAAUUUAUUCUAAUCCCAGAGCUACUGCUCUACGAAUCAAAAUUUUGACAUAAACUGAUCCGCCUAGCGAUCAACGAACCAAGUUACCCUGGGGAUAACAGCGCAAUCCAUUUCAAGAGCCCCUAUCGACAAAUGGGUUUACGACCUCGAUGUUGGAUCAGGGUAUCCCAGUGGUGCAGCCGCUACUAAAGGUUUGUUUGUUCAACAAUUAAAACCCU